GAUGAACGCUGGCGGCGUGCUUAACACAUGCAAGUCGAGCGAAAGGACGAGACGCUUGCGUGGCGGAUGUUAGCGGCGGAGGGGAGAGAAACAAGUGGAUAACGUACUUAUAAGACAGGGAUAACUAGGGGAAACAGUAGCUAAUACCGGAUAAUAUUGUGAACCGCGUGGGUCAAAGGUGAAAGACGGUGGUGCGGUCAAUAAUAGAUGGAUCCGCGCUUGAUUAGCUAGUUGGUAAGGUAAAGGCUUACCAAGGCGACGAUGCAUAGCCGACCUGAGAGGGUGAUCGGCCACACUGGAACUGAGACACGGUCCAGACUCCUACGGGAGGCAGCAGUGGGGAAUCUUCGGCAAUGGGCGAAAGCCUGACGCAGCAACGCCGCGUGAGUGAUGAAGGUCUUCGGGUCGUAAAGCUCUGUUGUUAGGGGGGAACCGAUGUGUACUUAUCUGUGCAGAUCUUGACGGUACCUGAUCAAAAAGCCCCGGCUAACUACGUG
Molecule: ribosomal RNA, 497 nt
Filed under: uncultured bacterium
Lineage: Bacteria
Description: partial 16S ribosomal RNA
Rfam family: Bacterial small subunit ribosomal RNA
Source: RNAcentral